GACACAGUUGUUUCCGAGACAGAAAAAUAACGCGGCCUAAAGGUGUCAUUCAUAACCGCCCUGCGCCUCCCACGCGGGCACGCGGGGGCGAGGACAGCUCACAUAUCUAUGGAUCAUGCGAUGACAAAUGUACCAGCGAACCCACGCUGCUGUUGCUGUAUUGACGGUGUUGGCAGCGUGUGUGGUCUGAGAUUGAUGAGUUUGAGCUCAACCGGUCUGUAUAACUGACUUAACGCACACUGACAUAAAGCAGAGAGUUGUUUCACACCAUCCGGCUCGCUUGGUGUGAAAUAGCAGCGGGCUGUCUGAUGUGUGCUGGGACAAAUGUCUUGUCUUCUUCAAAGAUAGCAGCUUACUGGAUGAUGAGCAGGACAUUUCCCUGACAGCAAUUAGUGCUUCCUUCACGGCGAGUUAUAGAAACCUCACAAUUAUUCUGGAUCUCGACAAGAUCAAUGUCUGAUUCCCAAUAAUCAGACUUAACUGCAUUACGUUACAAUUUCACACGUCUUCUUCUAAAUGUUAAAAGGUAUAACGCGAGAGAGGAGGGGAGCGUCUCUGCAGACAGAGACAGAACCACAUGUUUUGCAUGUUACACCUUUUUAAGUCUGGUGUUUCUUUGAAAUAAUCACAGUUUUGCCAAAGAAGCACAGACGCUACAGUCGAUUCCUGUACAUCAAUGAAACAAAAAGGUAUUAUUCUCUUUAGAAAUCCCCUUCAGCUUUUUGUCAGCCUGCUGAGCGUUUUCUUUUCAAUAUGAAGUCAACGUUUCAUCGUCGUUGAUUUUCCUCAUUGAGAGAACGAUUGAUUUAUUUAUGUGAUGUAAUCCUUUUUGACGCCACUAUAACAACCAGGGCUCAAUAGAAGCCCUGCACUCUCUAUAAAACUUGAUGGCCCCAUUAUGUGAGGCUGAAUACAGGGCUUAAUGACGUUGACCUCUCGCUUUGCGGAGCCCCAGUGGAAGGUGGUGGUGUUGAGUGAGGAAGGACGUCCACAACAGCCUCCGCGUCAAAGCAGAUCAGUGAUUUCUGCCACGAAAACACCUUCUGAAUUGUCACCAUGGAAAUAAAAUCCAGAAAAGUUAGAAUUUACUCAGCCAAAUAUUACAGUGUUAUUGCCUGCAGUUUGUUUGUAGCAAAUGUAACAUACUAACAAACUGUUACAUAUGCAACACAGUUGAAAAAUAGCAAAUUUGCUUUACAUUUCCAUUCACGUAGCGCCAGAGAGACCUUGUCCCACUUACACUCUGACAACGUUAACGUGAAAUACAACCAGCGGGUGAAAAGCGUCACAGAGUCACUUUGUUUCAUCUCGACCAGGAAAGGAGGGAGAUUCGAACGAUGUGCCGUUGAUGAUGAUGAUGAUGACGAAUGAAAAGAAAGAAGAUGAGAAACAUUAUUGUUAGAACUGGCUGGAUGAAGCACAGCGCACUGCUCUGUUGCCUCCGGGGCUGAAUAGUCUCAGUCAGGCUCACUUUUCCUAAACUUACUUUCAAAUCUAGGGCCCACUUUUAAUUCCCAGACUUAAUGGCCCACACUUAAAGUGUUGUUAGUCACAGUAACCAGAGGAGCUUUGCCCGGUGGAGCGGCUGGUUGGGGCACAUUAACUCUGCAAGUUCAAGAGGUAGAGUCGAGAUCCAGAUGUGUGCGUGUGUCCCGUUGUCCAGGGUUAAAGGUUAAACAAACACACAACGUGGUUGUGCACUGAGCCUGUGUGCACGAUCCCUUUCGUAAAGGUUUAACGCGUCAAAGUAAAACAAAGCACGAGGCGUUAAAUAAGGCUGCACAUCCCCUGCUAUUUCUUUCCCUUUAACCAAUGCUUCACCCGAAACACUUAAACCCUUUUGCUAUUAUUUCCUUUCAAAAGCAAAGCGCUGCAUCAGUCUUGGUGUUGAUGUGAAUCAUUUAAAGGUCGUUGUUUGGGAUCUUUGAAUAUGAGGUUUGAAUUAAAGCAUCUUAAGAAGACGUGGCAGCACAUUCAUUUUUGAUCACGGCUCUGGUACAGUUGGAUGCCUCCGAAAGCUUUUUGCCUGUGUGUGUGUGUGUGUGUGUGUGUUUGUUUGUGUGUGAGAGAGAUUAAAGAGAGUGGUUGAUCGCUCUGGAAGGCUGCAGAGCACCAGCCGGACGGCUUGGAUGUGCUGAAGGCCGCUUUCAGGGUGAAAACGCCGCUGUUGGUGGACCUUUUAACUUUGUCUUUUAUCAAGGAACUCAAAAGCCCACGGUUAUGCAAAUGAGAACAUGCACAUGGAAAACCUCACGCACCAAACACACACACACACACAGAGGCGGCGGCCUCUUGCAGAUGGGGUCGACCCGGCACUGUCGUGGCUGCAGGAGCGCGUGGCGGACGGUGACAUCCUGGUGAAUGCCCCUUCGCCACUGCUGACCACGGUCAUGGACAGUGUGGAUUCAGGGUUCCUCCUUUGCUCUCACCCCCCCUCCCCCCAAACAGUAGAGAUGGAUCCGAUGUGUAACGUGAUGCAGCGCUGGGCCGACCUGUGCGUGCCUGCCAUGUGUCGACUCAGCAGAGAUGAACCCGAGAACGCCCGACAGCACAGCUGCAUUUGAUUUUGUUUUUGAACAGUGGCCUGAAUUCUUGAUUUUGUUUUAAAUAAAUGACAUUUCUAGCAUAAAUGUCUGCAUCCAAAUGGACGAGGAUGCAGGAAAUAUGGGGUUUGACACUCCGAAUGUCCGGUGGUUGGACCUCCGUAACUCUUCAUCCGCCCCAAAAUGUUAAAACGAAACCUUGAGUUUAGCUCAUUUUAAAGCAGAGCUAAAAAUAUAGGAAAUGAUGAAUGCGUCUUGUGGAAGUGUCCACUGAUUCACAGACAUCAAAGCCUGCACAGCUCUCAACUUCAUUUACUGCUCCCCGAAUGUGACACAUCUCCUCUGUUCUUCCAUUCUCUUCGACGGUAAUCCGCACUUUCAAAUUCACACCACACCACAACAUGCUUUGUGUUAUUAGUGUAAAAAAAAAAAAAAAAUCUGCUCUUCAUUUAACAGCCCAAAAUCUCGGCGAAUGCUCCGGUAGCCAGAAAUGAGAAAUCCCACGGUUUUAACAGCAACUAGUGCCGCGCCUGUUACAUUCGGGUCACGCAGCUCAGCAUCUCUCCCCUGAAAGAGAGGCAACCUCUAAAAUGUUGGACUUUCAACAGCCAAAUGGUUUCCAGGCAAUUUCAGCAUUCUCAACGUCCCCUCGGAUCCAACGUAUUCCGUCCCCACCACCAUAUGACACGACAAAAAUAUCAUUGUUUUACCUCAUCCACUCAAUCCACACACAUACUUCUUGAAUUUAUAACCAUAAAUAAGAAGUAGAGGGACGACUUAUGUAUUUUGUAAUAAUACAACAGUGGUUAAAUUCCAUUUUCCUUUUUUUUUUUCCAUUUUGAGGCUCAGGCAAUAAUCACACAAAAUCAACACCAUACCGUUACAUUUCAUGCAUUUGAUCCACUAUGAACCUUUUCACCUCCCUCGGCUCGUCCUUCACUUUCAACAAAGAUGCAAAUGUGUGUGGAGAAAAAUGACCUCGCUGACCCUCCCCGGCAAACGGAGGAGAGAGCUGUAGCCGGAGGCACAUACGCUAAUGUGUCAAUAAUGGAAAGUUGCGUUGACAAGGGCAAUUAGUCACUGCGCAGCCUCGGCUGAGAGGAAAGCUAAAAUGAAGGAAGACAUUGGGAGAGCGAACACUGGAGGCCGCGAGGAGGGAAGGAGGAGCUAAAGAAAUGAAGGAAGGUGGUGAGAGGAGAGACGGUUAAUGAGAAAUGCGUGAAAAGGUCAAAGGUAAGACUGCAAAGUGGUUCAAAAGGUGGAUUAGAGAGAGGAAGUUGAUGAUGGAAAAGACAAAGAAGGAGAGAGGAGCGAGGGCCAGGAGGUGAAAAGGGGCCUGAAGAGGGGAAAUGAUUGAAAGAGAAGUAGAAAAGCAGGCAGAGGUUCCGAGGAGAGGUGAUUCAUCGAGGCUUUUACAACAUUCGCCAUCUCUGCAUGCUCUCGUCCCUCUUUGCACUCAGCCUUGAAAAGGACUUAUUUUCAUUUUCAAGUCGUUUUGCCCCGGGAACAUCAUUUCCUGUCCGUUUGAGCAUGCAUGAACAUUCCAUUCAACAACACACAACCCACAAAGUGCUGGAUACAGUCGUUUCUUGACAAAUGACACAAUGCAAAGUAGAUUGGCCGUUAUUUGUUAUUUGCUUUGAAUAAAAAAUAUUCUAGUCAUUUGCACAUAAUGAUUUCUGCAUUAUUUUCAUUUCAAAUGGUAAAAGCUACUUUAUUUUUGAUGGACAGAAGGUUUUUCAACAGCUUUUCUUUGUGGGUGCACUAGUUAAUAAUUUGUUAAUUCGCGUACCUGCAUGAGCUUCAUCUGUUACCUACACGCGUGUGUCAAUACGCCUGUGGCGUGUCCGUUCAUGGGCUUGUGUGAUAGCAAUGUAAGGUCCACAUGUCUGCAGCACACGUGCAUCGAUGCAUGUGUGAGAUGUAUCGAAGCACAGAUUCUCCAAAACUUUGAUUCAUAAGCGUCAAUAAAAGGUUCUUGUGCGAAUGGCCGUGCUCCUUUGUUGAAACAUGAGAGUGCACGGAUAGAUCAGUAAGGAGGAAGUAGUCGAGUUUGUGUUUGUCAUGUUUUUAACCUGCUAGAGGACCCGUGUUGCUAGAUAUAAGCAGGUACUUCCUCGCUUCUCCUUUUCACACUGUAGAUACAUGAGUAUAAGAUUUAGAUAAAGGUUAGAAAAGAGAAAUAAUUACUAGAACCACAUAGAGACAAUUACAAAGAGAUCUGGCAGGGUCAUAACCGGGAUCCAAAUAUGUCUCUUAUCUAUAGCAAGUUGUAAAUCGGCUUAUUGGAUGAAAUUGCACUUUCUUGUUUCUUGUUCUUCUGGGUUUGCACCCUGAUGGUUGACAUGCACUUAUUGAACGUCUUUGGAUAAAAAGCCUCAGCUAAAUGACAUGUAAUGUAAUGUAGAAACGGGCGGGCAGAGAACUCAAGCUGCAGAUGGUGAGGACGCACAGCCCACAUAUAUUAACAAGCAUAAAACAAAAGACUGUGCAAGACGAGUGCAACGCCGUGAGAGGUGAUGUGUGCAAAAACAGCCAAUUUACACAUUCAGCACAAUGUUAGUUUUCGUUUGGAGUCACAUGAUUGGUGAACUGGUCCGACGUUCACUCUGCUUUUAGCUCCCUGGUUAGCCGCCAAAGUCCCGAGGGAAAUACCUCGCCCAUUAGCUGCCUAAUGCUCCAAUUUCUCUACCAGCUUGUGUGUCUGUCUGCGGUCUGAUGCUGGACAGGUAGCGGUUCGGGCUUUUUAUUUGCUGAAACAAGCCGGCCGCUGCAGCCGCCUGGAAACACGGACGAGAGAAACGACGGGGAGCCGAUACACUAAUGUAAAGUAAUGGGUCAGAAAACCCAAACAACGAGCUGAAAGUAGCUGCAGCCGGGGGUGGAAUUUGGAUUAGUGAGGAAGGGAGAGCCUCUGUCAUGGUGGAUGUGGGGGGGGUGUUGGGUGUGAUUAGGGUGGUUUGUAUGGAUUACACUGUGGACGGUGUUUAUUUCCUCAGUAGAACACAUUCCCAGCGAUGCUGCAGAGAGCGUGUUCAAUGGAUUGUCUGGAGAAACAAUAGCAUUGUUCCUGGAAAGGUACUGCGGAUGUGUCAAUCUCAUCUGUGAUGCCCCUCGAGUCAUUUUGCCGAUUCCACAAAGCUUCUGCGCAGCAACAUUCCAUUGGUUUUGAUCAAAGCAUCCACUUAAUCAUUUUUACGUAUCAAAUACAUACAUUCACCACAUGCUGGUUAAUUCUUAUCCGUGCCACGGAGAGGCCUGGCCUGGGCUCCAGGCAGCAGUGGGGGAAUAUACAAAUAUAUAUUUAGCGAAAGACUGAAGCACUGGGAGAUUGCUUUCGCUCGCGCUGGCUGUUUAUUAUGGAGCUAAAUGAAACUAGGUGGCAGACGGGUUGAGAGGCUUCACCGCUCUGAGAUCCAACACCAUUCAUCUGUAUUAGGACCACUUAUUAGAAAGGCAGCGAUUCAUUUUCUCUGGCACUUCUUUUUUUUUCACUUGAAUAAGUGAGAGAGUAGGGAGAGGAAAAAGGCGGCAGCUAGGAAGGGAAAGAGAGAAUUGAUUUUGCAGGAUGAAUGGAACCAAUGCUGUAUAAUAUUUAUCUCCUCUGGAUCAACGAACCACCGGCUGGCCGAACAAAGAGGGGAAGUUAAUUGAACAGCUCCGGCAUCCCUCUUUCUCCGGCUGUCGUCGGCUCCCUGCGUGCCCUUUUCCCGCUUCUCUGUCUCUCUCGCCGCUCCCUCCCGCCACGACUCCGGCAGGACGGAUGGAUCGGCUUGCAGUCAUUCAUCGGCGGAACAGGGAAAUAAAGAGAAGAUGAAUAAUGGCGGUUGAAAACGUUGGCGUUUUUAUUGCGAUUGGCGCCGUUUCAGCGCAGAUUUGCAUUUGGGAUCUUUUUUCAACUCCAAUGAAGACGCAAGAGAGCGCGCACACACACACACACACACACACACGUUGGUGCACACACCGAGGGUGACAAACUAACACAACGCGACAUUCCCGCUGUGUGACGCUCUAAUGAGACGGGCGGCAGUGACUGAAGCGCUCCGGUGCUGCUCAUAAACAACACAGAACCCUGCGGGCGCGGCCUGCUGGGGCGCGGCCCUGCGCGGCGCGACGCGCCGAACACGCGCCGGUGGGUUAAGGUGUUACAUCUCCAUGCAACCGCCUGGCGUCCGCGUCGAUGCGUCUCCCGAUGCCACGCAAAGGACGCCGCACUUAAUCAAACAUUUCGGCGGCAGUGGCCUCCGUCUGCCGCCCUCGCGCUGACGGUGCUUCUCUCACCUUUUCCUCUCAAACCGGCGGGACAUCGGCGAGUGUCGGCCCCCCGCUGACCCGGGCAUCGCCCUCCAAAGGACUGAGCUCUGAGUCGGGGGCCCAAUGGGCAUGACUCACGGUGCUAUUAUCUAACUCCAAGGUGAGCCCAGCGGCGUCAUUAUUGGGGUUGUCGUGGCGCAGGGGUUAGAGAAGGUGUGCUGGGAAGCUCAAGGUUGGUGGUUCGAUUCCAGGCUGCCCCAUGUUCCAUGUUGAAGUGUCCCUGAGCAAGACACCUAACCCCUAAUUGCUCCCCAGGCAAAAUGUGAAAAAGCCAUGGGUUUAAAGUGUAAUGUAAGUCGCUUUGGAUAAAAGCGUCUGCUAAAUGACCUGUAAUGUAAUGUGUAGCCACACUGAAUGACGGAGCUGUGAUCUAAACACAAACCGGACAUUCUCGACUCACACACAGCCACAUAUUCAUAUAUUAUUUAUUAUUUAAAAAUGGUUUAAUGCCUUCAGCUUUUUCAAUAACUCGCCAGCCGUACCUGUAGAUUAAAACUGGUAUGAAAAGACUUUAGUAGCCAACGGUUUCAGUCAGUGAAGAGAAGAUCUAAAAUAAUAAAUCAACAAAGCCUGAACCUGUGGUUAAAGCAACUUUUGAUAGAAAAAAAAAGAAACGAAAACAAGGACACUCGCCAGACCUCAUUUACUUUUUUAAUAGAAACCCUAAUCAGAGAUAAAAAGAAUAAUGGAGGCUUCAGGCGGCUUGAGUGCUCGGAGGGCUUAAUGAGAUAACAGAGGAUCUAUGCACAAACAACACCAAUUUUCAGAGGAGAGGAAACAACUGAGAUGCAGGGUGAAAACAAACAAAUAACCUGAAGGCAAAGGAGAUUCAUUCUGAGGUUGAUUUGUUUGCACAAUCAACAAUAAGCCAGGUUUCAGAACCUGCCGUGCACAUGACGGCUUUAGAAUUCACAGAUGUUUCAUGAGUCGCACACCAAACAGAGAACACACUAACUCUGUCACUUUCCGUUCGGAGCAAACGAAUACACAUGAAUUAUGAAAAACGUAUAUUUCUCAUUUUACUUUGUUGGAAAAAAGUCUUCCAACAAAUGUCAGACAACCGCCAUCAUGAACAACAACUCCUCUAUGGGCCCAUAAAUAAACAGAUAACAUUUAUUUUCAGGAGGUGCUGGAGUCCAAAAAUAGUGGAAUGUUACUCUUAAAUAAGUAUAAUGACCACCAACAGAACUGUAAACGUAGCCUAUUUUUGUCAGGUGUCUUUUAAAUGCGCAAAUACCAUAGAAAGAAAAGUGCUGGCCAUGUUUUCCGCUUUCCUCACAGAGUCAGGCCGCCCUGACUGGAGGCUGUUACAGAUUGGCAAAGAAGCCGCGUGAAGGAGAUGAUUACUUAUCUGUUAUUUCAUUUGUUCAGUGGAGGUGUUUCUGUGACCAGAUUCAUCUAAAGUCUCCCGAUCAGGCUUCCUCUCAGGGCCGUUUGCCGGUUAAGACGUGGGACAAGCGAGGCGCCCUUUAGGCUUUUGUCCUUUUCGGGGGCGGGCGGAGUGAGUCGUCUGGUUCCUUUGGAUCGCCCGCACCGCGAAACCGCCGAGCGCUUUUGAUAAUGACCGAGGGACCUCACGGACGAGGCUGAGGCAAUUGAAACGGGUUCAGUCGCCUUCGCGCCGUCGCGGGAGAGUCAAGGCAGUCGUGACCCCGCCGCGCUGGUGUCACGGAGCGGUCUCACCCCCAUUUGUCAGACGCCUCGGUGACCCGGCGCACGGUCGCAGCAUUUGGUUUAAGACGGGAAUUCAAACGAAACUGCAACAAAACCAGGAAAAGAAACACGGGUUUAAAAUAACAACAUUUUGCACAAAAAUCGGUAAGCGGUUGAAAAUUGAUUUCCUUGAUUGAUUCAUGCGUGACAUCACUCCCCUGUGAGGGGCUUUUGAAAUGAAAUGUGGGGAAAUAUGUAACGGCUGGCAGCUCUCUCGGCCCGCUAACCAGAUUUUUAACGUUAACGAGUCGACACUGCCGACCUGUCAAAUUAACCGCUUCCAUCCUUCCAUCUCGACGUAAGACAAAAUCAGAUGUUGUAUGAACUCGGUGUCAGAUCUCCUCUCAGUCGCUACUCACAUCUCGACUCAACGUUUAGUCCCAUGAAUCCCGUGUCUCGUUUGUCUCUCAGAAGUCGUCACGUGAAGCUCAGAGCGGCGGACCGUCGCAUCACCAGCACUUGACCAGCUUGCGGUGAGAAUGCGCUGCCUCUUCACAUCGCUCCACCACCUCCACCGACACACUCCACCAUCUUCCAUGGCCCUAAUGGUUCGCUAGGUUAUGCUGCUGUUACAUUGAUUUGAAUGUAUUGUACAUCUUUCACAUUGUUUAUUGUGCGCACAUGACAUUGUAGAGGGAUCCAUCCUCUGACGUUCUCCUUUCUUUCCCCCACGGAAGUGCUUUCAUUUUUUCCUGUGCGGAUGUGAAGGUUUCGGGACAGAGGAUGUCGCAUGCGUACAGACUGUAAAGCCCUCUAAGGCAAAUUUGGGAUUUGGGAUUUUGGGCUAAACUAAAUGAAAUGAAUUGAGUUGAAUGGCUGAGUGGGGUGUGCCGACCUCUGACCUCUCCUGUGUCCAUCCCUGAGUCAAUGUGUGUGAGCUACCCUUUGGACCGUGUCAUUAUAUCUCCAAAAUGUGAGCUCCGACAAAACCACUGUGCUGCAUUUGCAUCGAUUCAGCAGAAAUUCCUAUUAAAGGCUAGAGUGGUAAUUUAUAAAACUGCUGUCUCCAGUAGUUUAAGUGGAAAAAAGGGAGCGUUGCUUUUGUAAUUAUAAAACUGUUGUAUCACCAGUGAAUAUUUACAGUUUCUUGCAGACAGUAUUUACAAGAUAGGCCACAUUGUUCGGGGGAGAGAAAUGUCAAGAUUUUCUUCAUUAUGGUACAGAGACGGACUGCAACAACAGUGAGCAAACACAGACAUGAACUGUUAAAUAUCUGUGUACAUGUGUAAGUGACCCAUAGGACUCCUGCAUAAACCCCCCAACAGACGCCACUGACUUUCCAAUGUGAGGGAGAUGACAUUCAGGCAAAGAGAAAGCACAGUUUAUCCAUUUCAAGACGCUUCACUUUCCAUUAUGUCGCGUUAAGAACCGCAGAAUGUUGAUCUUCAGAGGAUCCCAUUGACCUCCACUAGAAGCUAACAGUCCAGUGGCCCUUGAUUAAGCACAAAUAAUAAAUGAAUAAAUAAAUGCAAUGUUUUGAUUUGGUGUGAAGUGGUUUGUUACAAUGUGGAACGAUACAGUCAACGUGUGAAAAAGGAUUACAACAAUGUCCCCAGUUUGACUGAGAAAUUGCAGCAAGCUUCUGCAAGUAAUUGAGGAAAUUGAUUUGAUUUUUGAUGAUUAUGUUUGCGAUUUUAAAAUUCCUGCUGGGAGUUCGGCUGAGAUCCUGCUCUCAUGCUCACAUUGUUAUUCCCGACAAAUUAGUGUUGUGCAACUUUGACCUUUUUGGUAAUAAGGCGGAUUUGCUGGUUGUCGUCUUGUGAUUGGAGGAAAAACAUUUGCUUGGCCUUUAAUUAAAAAGCAGCUCGCAGUGUACGAGUACCGAUAACGGCUACAAACAAUGAGCAAAGAUCAUCAAAAGCUGCAGACUUUUCUCCGUGCAGACAUGAGUGUUUGUGUACAUAUUGAUGGAGCUGCAUUCUCUCGAAAUUGGUCUGUGAGGGAUUCACUGCUGCCAGGUUGAGCGGCAUCGUGAGAAUAUUACCUAAACAGAAACAAGAAACUAUUCCACCAUCAGACGAUGAGAGGACGUCUUCUACUUAAUGGAACAGGAAGUGGGAGAACAGUUCCAAACAUGUGUGAGGAAUGGC
Gasterosteus aculeatus aculeatus (three-spined stickleback) is the source of this 10660-nucleotide long non-coding RNA. The record is from Ensembl. NCBI's taxonomy places the organism in Eukaryota, Metazoa, Chordata, Actinopteri, Perciformes, Gasterosteidae.